This 240-nucleotide ribosomal RNA is filed under the name uncultured bacterium. RNAcentral describes it as "partial 16S ribosomal RNA". It matches the Rfam family "Bacterial small subunit ribosomal RNA", at positions 524 to 763 of the family's 1533-position model. The record is from RNAcentral.
UACGUAGGGUGCGAGCGUUAAUCGGAAUUACUGGGCGUAAAGCGUGCGCAGGCGGUUCGUUAAGUUCGUUGUGAAAGCCCCGGGCUCAACCUGGGAACUGCAAUGGAAACUGGCGGGCUUGAGUGUGGCAGAGGGGGGUGGAAUUCCGCGUGUAGCAGUGAAAUGCGUAGAGAUGCGGAGGAACACCGAUGGCGAAGGCAGCCCCCUGGGCCAACACUGACGCUCAGGCACGAAAGCGUG